Molecule: ribosomal RNA, 253 nt
Filed under: uncultured bacterium
Lineage: Bacteria
Description: partial 16S ribosomal RNA
Rfam family: Bacterial small subunit ribosomal RNA
Source: RNAcentral
UACGUAGGGUGCGAGCGUUAAUCGGAAUUACUGGGCGUAAAGCGUGCGCAGGCGGUUGUGCAAGACCGAUGUGAAAUCCCCGGGCUUAACCUGGGAAUGGCAUUGGUGACUGCACGGCUAGAGUGUGUCAGAAGGGGGUAGAAUUCCACGUGUAGCAGUGAAAUGCGUAGAGAUGUGGAGGAAUACCGAUGGCGAAGGCAGCCCCCUGGGAUAACACUGACGCUCAUGCACGAAAGCGUGGGGAGCAAACAGG